AGCGAACGCUGGCGGCAGGCUUAACACAUGCAAGUCGAGCGGGCAUCUUCGGAUGUCAGCGGCAGACGGGUGAGUAACACGUGGGAACGUACCCUUCGGUUCGGAACAACUCUGGGAAACUGGAGCUAAUACCGGAUGCGCCCUUAUGGGGAAAGGUUUACUGCCGAAGGAUCGGCCCGCGUCUGAUUAGCUAGUUGGUGGGGUAACGGCCUACCAAGGCGACGAUCAGUAGCUGGUCUGAGAGGAUGAUCAGCCACACUGGGACUGAGACACGGCCCAGACUCCUACGGGAGGCAGCAGUGGGGAAUAUUGGACAAUGGGCGCAAGCCUGAUCCAGCCAUGCCGCGUGAGUGAUGAAGGCCUUAGGGUUGUAAAGCUCUUUUGUCCGGGACGAUAAUGACGGUACCGGAAGAAUAAGCCCCGGCUAACUUCGUG
This 435-nucleotide ribosomal RNA is filed under the name uncultured bacterium. Its description in RNAcentral is "partial 16S ribosomal RNA". It matches the Rfam family "Bacterial small subunit ribosomal RNA", at positions 29 to 507 of the family's 1533-position model. The record is from RNAcentral.